This 468-nucleotide ribosomal RNA is filed under the name uncultured bacterium. RNAcentral's name for it is "bacterial SSU rRNA". It matches the Rfam family "Bacterial small subunit ribosomal RNA", at positions 328 to 793 of the family's 1533-position model. The record is from RNAcentral.
UUUCCAGACUCCUACGGGAGGCAGCAGUGAGGAAUAUUGGUCAAUGGGCUUACGCCUGAACCAGCCAAGUCGCGUGAGGGAAGACUGCCCUAUGGGUUGUAAACCUCUUUUGUCAGGGAGCAAUUGGCGCUACGUGUAGCGUUAUCGAGAGUACCUGAAGAAAAAGCAUCGGCUAACUCCGUGCCAGCAGCCGCGGUAAUACGGAGGAUGCGAGCGUUAUCCGGAUUUAUUGGGUUUAAAGGGUGCGCAGGCGGAGGUGCAAGUCAGCGGUCAAAUUGCGGGGCUCAACCCCGUACUGCCGUUGAAACUGCAUCCCUUGAGUGCGCGAGAAGUAUGCGGAAUGCGUGGUGUAGCGGUGAAAUGCAUAGAUAUCGCGCAGAACUCCGAUUGCGAAGGCAGCAUGCCGGCUCCACACUGACGCUGAGGCACGAAAGCGUGGGUAUCGAACAGGAUUAGAUACCCCCGUAU